UACGUAGGGGGCGAGCGUUAUCCGGAUUUAUUGGGCGUAAAGCGAGCGCAGGUGGUUUAUUAAGUCUAGUGUAAAAGGCAGUGGCUCAACCAUUGUAUGCAUUGGAAACUGGUAGACUUGAGUGCAGGAGAGGAGAGUGGAAUUCCAUGUGUAGCGGUGAAAUGCGUAGAUAUAUGGAGGAACACCGGUGGCGAAAGCGGCUCUCUGGCCUGUAACUGACACUGAGGCUCGAAAGCGUGGGGAGCAAACAGG
Molecule: ribosomal RNA, 252 nt
Filed under: uncultured bacterium
Lineage: Bacteria
Description: partial 16S ribosomal RNA
Rfam family: Bacterial small subunit ribosomal RNA
Source: RNAcentral